Molecule: long non-coding RNA, 111 nt
Organism: Haliotis rubra (blacklip abalone)
Lineage: Eukaryota; Metazoa; Mollusca; Gastropoda; Lepetellida; Haliotidae
Exons: 2
Source: RefSeq, a predicted model, not a curated record
GUAUUGAAUAUGAAGACAAUCCAGGGAACGGUUCUUAAGAUAUUCCAAUUCGUACGGACGGACAGAGCCUAAUGCUAUAUCCCCCGCUUCUCGCUAAAUGCGCGGCGGGGG